Long non-coding RNA from Bos taurus (domestic cattle), 488 nucleotides. Lineage: Eukaryota; Metazoa; Chordata; Mammalia; Artiodactyla; Bovidae. The record is from Ensembl.
CCCUUGGACGCGUCUCUCUGGGUUUCGCAGCUCUGAUCGGGUCUCUGCGGGCCUCCUUCUGCUUCGCUGCUGGCUGGGAGGUCAGGAGGGAAGUACGUCUCCCGCGAUGCCGCCCGCGAGGGUCUCCGUUUGAGGAGCGCUGGGUCGCCGGUCCUUGUGGUUCCUGAGUACCGGUGUUCAGCAUCUUGGCCGGAGCAGCCUAGGACGUGGACUUGUUCGCACUCCACACCUCGGGGAGGGAUCUUUCCUCUUCCCCUCAGAAAAAUAUGCAUUUUGCAAGCCCCGGGUUCGUGCCCUCCGCCCGCCGCUGCAGGAAGCCUGUGGGACCCGGGGUCUCGCAGGGCGCGUCUCAGCGUGAAGCGAGAAGCCAGGGCUCUGGCUGGUGCGAGGGGCGGGCUCCUGGCGGACUGUCCCGUGGUCUCUGCCCGGCCUUGCCCCGGAGGACCUCCCACCGCUCCGGCUCCUCCGGCGUCCUUGGCGGGUUAAGG